GUCACUGACAGACUCGCGCCCGCGCCGCCCCUCGCCCCGCCGCAGCGCGCACGCGCGGCCCGCGCACGCCGCCGCCAGAUCCGGGGCACGCGCACGGUGCGCGCGCCGGGACGACAGGGCUGCGGGACAGAGGCGGGCCGUGUGCUGAGGCCCCGCCCUCCGCCCUGCGCCCGGGGCCGCGCCGCGCCCUGACCGCGGGCUGCGCGCGAUGCGGGGAUUACGGACGCCGCUGAGAGACCGCCGUUCCUCGCAGGUCGGCCCCCAGACCCGCUCGGGGAAACCUGAGGGCAUCUACUAGUUAAGGAGCUGCUGAGGUGCGACGUUUGGGACGUGGAAAUGUUUGCCCUCCCGCUCAACACACCUUGUUUAUAAAUGGAAGUUUGCGACUAUUGCCUGUGCCUAAAGGGAGGCUUCCCUUUCUUCAUAAGCCAUGAGCAAGUGUCACCCGAGACUCGAGACCUGAGCGUGUUUGUGGCGACCAUCGCGGUGCAGUCCGAGCCCCAGCCUCUGCUGGCCAGACAGAGCCUCAAGGAGGCCGUGGUUGACCCUGGAAAGCUGGUGCCACUGAGACGCAGCUUCUGCAGCCCCAGGGAGGGUUUCCCUUCCCGUCCUUGGGUCGUCUUCCCCUCCUCCUGGACAACUGUUUUUCCGUUUCCACAGAGGAAGUUUUCAAAGCAAAAGUGACCUGAUGAAAAAAAUUGAAGUUCAGAAGAGCAGUCAGUGAAAUAAGCGUAGGAAACUUACAUUGAGCGAAUGUGGCAGCCUGGGAGCUGCAACUGCGGAGUCCAUGCGCCACUGCUGCUGAAGGCCGUGCGCCCUAGAGCCUGUGCUCCACAAGAGAAACCUUCACAAUGAGAAGCCCGCACACCACAGCGAGGAGUGGCCCCUGCUCGCCAAAACCAGAGAAAGCCCUCUCAAAGCAGUGAGGACCCAGCAC
Molecule: long non-coding RNA, 937 nt
Organism: Bos taurus (domestic cattle)
Lineage: Eukaryota; Metazoa; Chordata; Mammalia; Artiodactyla; Bovidae
Source: Ensembl